RNAcentral lists this ribosomal RNA (253 nucleotides) under uncultured bacterium. RNAcentral describes it as "partial 16S ribosomal RNA". It matches the Rfam family "Bacterial small subunit ribosomal RNA", at positions 524 to 776 of the family's 1533-position model. The record is from RNAcentral.
UACAGAGGUCUCAAGCGUUGUUCGGAUUCAUUGGGCGUAAAGGGUGCGUAGGCGGCGCGGUAAGUCGGGUGUGAAAUCUCGGAGCUUAACUCCGAAACUGCAUUCGAUACUGCGGUGCUUGAGGACUGGAGAGGAGACUGGAAUUCAUGGUGUAGCAGUGAAAUGCGUAGAGAUCAUGAGGAAGACCAGUGGCGAAGGCGGGUCUCUGGGCAGUAACUGACGCUGAGGAGCGAAAGCGUGGGGAGCGAACAGG